Gallus gallus (chicken) is the source of this 566-nucleotide long non-coding RNA. RefSeq lists it as uncharacterized. Lineage: Eukaryota; Metazoa; Chordata; Aves; Galliformes; Phasianidae. The transcript is spliced from 3 exons. The record is from RefSeq and is a predicted model, not a curated record.
AGACAACAGAAGAGUUGUGGUACGUCCACAAACUGUGCACUGUUGUGCAUCUGCACUUCAGUCAAACACCCGAUGGCAGCUGCUGCUCCCACUGACCAUACGGCCAAGGUGCAACUGUUUGUAUAGCCAGAAAGAAACUCUUUGAUCAGUGCAAGUCAAAGAAGCUGUUGUUUCGUAGGUUUACAUGGGAUUGAAAUUCCUGGCAUAAAAAGGUGUUUGGAAACUUUCUGGCCAGACAAGAAGAGGUUCUGAAUCUUGGGAGUCUGACAGGAUUCCUGCAGCCUGUGUCACACAUCUCUGCUGGUCAUCGUGGUCAAGGAAAACACUGAAGUACUGAUAGACACAGUGGAGGUUUGGACACGUGUUUACUGCUCUAUUGUGUUUCCUGUGUCAGAAAUCAGACUGCCCAUCAUCGUCCUUUCAUCCUUUCCCUGGCAGUACAGAACACCAGUGCUGGAGGGGCAGCAGGUUUCUGUGGUGUAAAACACUGCUGCAAGACUGCAGGGCCACUUGGGCUGUACUUUCAAAAAUGAUUUAAACUAGCCUAAGAUCACUCUGUUGUCAAA